UGGGGAAUUUUGCACAAUGGGCGCAAGCCUGAUGCAGCGACGCCGCGUGAGGGAUGAAGGCCUUCGGGUUGUAAACCUUUUUCGCUCAUGGUCAAGCCGCAGCUUUGGGUUGUGGUGAGGGUAGUGGGUAAAGAAGCGCCGGCUAACUACGUGCCAGCAGCCGCGGUAAUACGUAGGGCGCGAGCGUUGUCCGGAAUUAUUGGGCGUAAAGGGCUUGUAGGCGGUUGGCCGCGUCUGCCGUGAAAUCCUCUGGCUUAACUGGGGGCGUGCGGUGGGUACGGGUUGACUUGAGUGCGGUAGGGGAGACUGGAAUUCCUGGUGUAGCGGUGGAAUGCGCAGAUAUCAGGAGGAACACCGGUGGCGAAGGCGGGUCUCUGGGCCGUUACUGACGCUGAGAAGCGAAAGCGUGGGGAGCGAACAGG
RNAcentral lists this ribosomal RNA (422 nucleotides) under bacterium. RNAcentral describes it as "partial 16S ribosomal RNA". It matches the Rfam family "Bacterial small subunit ribosomal RNA", at positions 355 to 776 of the family's 1533-position model. The record is from RNAcentral.